This 86-nucleotide transfer RNA is filed under the name Caminibacter mediatlanticus TB-2. Its description in RNAcentral is "tRNA-Leu". It matches the Rfam family "tRNA". Rfam says of the family: Transfer RNA (tRNA) molecules are approximately 80 nucleotides in length. Their secondary structure includes four short double-helical elements and three loops (D, anti-codon, and T loops). Further hydrogen bonds mediate the characteristic L-shaped molecular structure. tRNAs have two regions of fundamental functional importance: the anti-codon, which is responsible for specific mRNA codon recognition, and the 3' end, to which the tRNAs corresponding amino acid is attached (by aminoacyl-tRNA synthetases). tRNAs cope with the degeneracy of the genetic code in two manners: having more than one tRNA (with a specific anti-codon) for a particular amino acid; and 'wobble' base-pairing, i.e. permitting non-standard base-pairing at the 3rd anti-codon position. The record is from RNAcentral. Lineage: Bacteria; Pseudomonadati; Campylobacterota; Epsilonproteobacteria; Nautiliales; Nautiliaceae.
GCCCGGGUGGCGGAACUUGGUAGACGCAAGGGACUUAAAAUCCCUCGGGCGUUUUGCCCGUGCCGGUUCGAGUCCGGCCCCGGGCA